ACCAAAGAAUUUGGUUCUUCUUGAGGUCCCUGAAAAUAGAAGCGAGUCAUGAAAGGGGGGUGACAACGAUAUCAGUUCAUACACAUGGGCUUGAAUACUUCCCAUUUACAAGGCCUCGGAAGACAGCAAGCCCCGAGGGGUUUGGAAAAGAAGGCAGGCAACUCACAUGAAGCCCAUAGGCAGACAAAAUAAGCAGUGUUAGCUGGUUGCCUGACGCUCUCACUGCCCCUCCGGCAUAAAUGCUGCGCUGCCAUCGCGGCAGGCUAAACAGAAAUGCUGAGCCUCCCAAGCUAAAGGGAAAGUCAGCCCUGCUGAGGAGGGGGGCGGAGGAGCUCAGUCACUGAGGCUGCCACACCAGAGUCGGGGGUGAGGGAUCAAGGCGAGGCUGACAGGUGACAGGGUGAGUGGAAAAUCCUAAGAGCAAAGCUUCUCAGGGACCAGCAACCCGCGCAACACAGGUGCGACAUGAAGACAUCAUCUGUGGCAGGCUGUCGCUGUUCCAACAGUUUUAUCAUCUUACAGAAGAUCAUGGAUGGUAAAGAUGAAGUUGCCUUUUAAGUGGGAAGAAUGGAACGUCUCUCUGCUUCCACCACAAACUAAAGUUAAGGUCUGUGAGGAGCAAGGAAGGACUUGAUGGUGAUAAAGGCACCAGGUCAUAUGCCAGGACCUGCCGCAAGGAGGAGGCUAUUGUUAGCCUGUUCUGCUCCAGGUGAGCAGAGUGUGGGCAGUGGGUCAGGAUCCCCAGUGUGUGCUCAGAUAUGGGGGACAAGGGGUUAGGUCCAUGAAUAAGCCUUCCCAGGGGUCUCACUCUCGACUCACAGUGUGGGCAGAGGCCAACAGGAAGCUGAUAACUCCUGAACGUCUCUCAGGGACAAAAUGGGCCCGAAAAAGAAACACACAGAGAGAAUCUUCAAGACAACGUGUGACACCUUCAGGCUGAUUUAACUCAUGUAUCAGAAAGGAGAAGGAAUUUGAAAGGAAAGUUUGAAAAGGCAUUUUCCUGGUGCUGUGGAAGUAAUCGCAUGUAACUGAAUAACAAAAUAAAAAAUGAAGACUUCUGUGAAAUCAAGCCCUUGAGAACUUCUUGAAAUGCAGAAGCACGGCCAUGCGAUAGGCCAGUCAAGGUUGAAUCCGGGUCCAUUAAAACAGAAAUGAGGAAAGGAAUCCUGACUUAUGUCCAGAUGAAAAUUUCCAAACUCCUUGGCUGCAUUCCUUAGAAUUGAUAGGAACUACUCGAGCUGCCACCUGGGACCCAUAGCGGAAGCUUCUCUCUGAGGAUGGCGAUGAGCCCACAUCAGAUGGAAACUCCUGGGUUCUCUGAUGACUGCGGGGCCACCAUACCAGUCCCGGACACCCUUCAUUUAUGUUGCUGGGUUAUUUCUUUUCUUUACAAUGAGCAUCAGCAUUCUUGAAAUGGAAGAAAUAAAAAGGCUUCGGACUCAGAUUGGCAGAGUUUGUAACUGGGUCAGAUGCAGAAUUAAACUAUAAUGGCCUAAAAUUACGAGUUGAUUCAAUUUGUACUUAAAUUUACAAGCACAAAUAACUUCAGUGAAUAUAUUCUUUCAAUGACUACAAAAUAGAUUUAUAAGGUUUAAAAAAACUCAGUGGGAGAUUCAAAAAUUGAGAUUUCCUCCUAAAUAGGAGAUAAAACAGAGAAAAUCACUUUGAUUUGCUGGAGUUAGUCAGAAGUAUCUCAUGUGGUCAUUAAAAUAUUCUUUUAAAACAUAGUUAUUGUGAAUACCUCCAUUCUCUCAUGUCAUUCUGCAAACAACGGAAACUUAAAGAAUAUACGAGAAGAAUUUUGUUCUUGCAGAAGAGUAAACCUUUUUAAAUCCUGGCUUUGUCCUGAUGCUACGAUGGUGCGUCCUCCGUCUUUCCAAAUUAGAGAACUCAGAUUCUAAGGCUACUUUCCCUCUUAUUGACUAAGCUUAAAAACCGAAGAACAAGUUAAAAAAAAAGACAAGAAAUAAAUACCUUGGCCUUAAAAAUAAAACCACAGACAGAAGAGAAAAAAAGAGAAAUUCUUAGCCUUAGGCAUCAUAUAAAGUGGCAUUAUUUAAAACAUUUCCUAAUUAUUUUCUGCCAGCUAAGAAAAAAAACCUCAAAGAGCAAAAGCAAUUAAAGUGUUUCAUUUUUUACAAAGUUCCUUUCACGCCUAACAGGAGCACAUAGAUAGACUAUGUCAGCGAAUGGGUUUGGUGGUAGUGGUUUUGAGAUUGUAUAAAUGGCACUUCCUAAUACAGAACCUUAGCUGUAUUAGAGCCCUAAAUUUUUACUUAUGUGCAGAGGCUCUCAUUUCACAUUCAAAAGACUGAAUGUGAGGGUGAGCUAUUGUUUGAAGUCUGUCACCUUUUUUCCAAAGGAAAAUGUUUUAGGAUCAUUCUGAACAUAGAAGGAAAACAUUUCAGUGAUGGACUAAUUUCAUGCUGUGGUUGUCAUUAAAUCUCUUUCCAAGGCCAGUCAUUAAUUUUGUUAAAAUAAUUUUUUAAAAAUAGUAUCUUUAGGUUAAAUACCAGCGGAACUGUCAGCCUGCAAGUCUCAGAGAUGGAUGCUUUGUGAAGUGCUACAAAAGGAUGAUCCUUCCCACAUCCUCAUGAAUUUACGUCACUUUUGUGGAAGAACAAGGCUCAAGACAGUCAAUGCCAAAGAUCAUCCUGUCUCCAGGCUCUGCUGAACCUGCCGAUCGGUGGGAAAUGACGGGAGACAAUGAGUCCACUGAGAGGUGAUGGAGAAUGGCAGGCACUGAGCUAAGAUACCUUAAAUGUGAUGCUUCUCAUGCUGACGGCCAACUGAAAACAAUCUCAUCAUUACUUCUUAUUAUGAUAUACAUUUUAAUUUGUUUUUCUCCUCAAUCUGGGUAUAGCUGCUAUGCAAAUAUGUCUUUUAAAUGUUUGGAUAGAGGCCACGCCCAUGAUGUUAAAAGUUAGCAAUCAGUAUUUAUGUAACUUCGUAGGUCUUGUGAGAGGGCGCAAAUCUGAAUGCAUACAUCUUACUAAUUAAGCUCAUUGAAGACAUGCAAUAAACCACACUCAAGAUGCAGUUACCUUUAAUUUUGGUGGAUUGAUCUCCUGUUGAUAAGAAUAUUUAGGGAGGAGAGGAGGUGAGCAGGGCUGAGAAAGUGUAGAGUCCAGGUCAGAAACAGAGGCGAAGAGAGAAUGAAAUGGAGGGGAGGAAAGCAGGUGGCUGGGAAAGGGUGUGGGUGCUUGCUCUCCCGAAGAAAAUGACGGAGGCUUAAAUAUCGAGGAAAGACGAGAGGUGAUUAUGCUUGUCUCAGAAUGAGGUUACAUGCUCUUUACGGAAUUUCCUCUCAACUUCCAACAUUUUAAAGUUACUAAUAACCUUGGGAAGUUAUAUUUAUGACAAAUUUUUUGCUUUGAAACCACUAACUUCCUCUUUUGAAUUUGAUUCAAAAUCCCCAAUGGUAUGAUCAGUUUAAUUUUUCGCAUGGGGGUGGCUGGAGAUAGGAACACCUAUAUUCUAUCAUUUUCUCAUAUAUUUAUAUGAUGGCUCCUUCUAAAAGUGAAGGAAAAAAGUAUUUAAAACCCUGCAAUGACUGUAACUUGCGUGUAAAGUAGGUUGCCAACUAUAGUCAGCGUGUCACAAAGCUGGGGAAGCCGUGGCCCCGCGUGCAGGGUGUGAGCUGGUGCUGGGAUGAGCCGGCCUAGGGUACUGUCUGUGUCAGCAAAGCCACACAUCUAAUCACACCUUCAGAUUGAUUGAAUUGAAAGGAAUAUUAGUUACUGAAAUAAUUGAUGUAGAGACACGUUUGGCUCCUUGCAAUGAAUUAUCUAUCUGUUAUUAAAUAAGGUGUUUGUUUUACACAAAUGCAGGCCUGGCCGGGUUAUUUUGAAAUACAGGAACUAUGAAAGAAUUUGACUUGGAUAGUAGCGUAAUAGGAACCAUCCUUUCUGUUAUUUCAUAAUUUCUAUAAUUGCCAGUAAUUAUACUUGCUUCUUAAUUCACAGGGUACAUUUGUGGGAUCAAGUUUCUUUUUAUUUUUGAAAUGGAGUUUUGCUCUUUUUGCCCAGAACGGAGUGCAGUGGCACAACUUCAGUUCACUGCAACCUCCGCCUCCCGGUUUGAAGCAGUUCUCCUGCCUCAGCCUCCCGAGUAGCUGGGAUUACAGGCACCCAACACCAUGUCUGACUAAUUUUUGUAUUUUUAGUGGAGAUGGGGGUUUUACCAUGUUGGACAGGUUGGUUUCGAACUCCUGACCUCAGAUGAUCCACCAGCCUUGGGCUCCCAAAGUGCUGGAUUACAGGCGUAAGCCACCGCAGCUGGCCUUAAGUUUCUCUUUUUUUUUGAGAUGGAGUCUCGCUCUGUCACCCAGGCUGGAGUGCACUGGCACGAUCUCAGCUCAUUACAACCUCCUCCUCCCGGGUUCAAGUGAUUCUCCUGCCUCAGCCUCCCGAGUAGCUGGGAUUGUAGGCACCCACCACCACGCCUGGCUAGUUUUUGUAUUUUUGGUAGUGACGGGGUUUCACCAUGUUGGCCAGGCUGAUCUCAAAUUCCUGACCUCAGGUGAUCUGCCUGCCUCGGCCUCUGGAAGUGCUGGCGUUGCAGGCUCGUUUUUUGUUUUAAGAGAGAGGUUUGCAAGCUAAAGUUUCUGGAUAUUUUCUGCCUUUGUUGAUUAAAACCACUGUUCAAGAUUCUUCAUAACAUGAAGAUACAGUACCCAGUUCUUAAGUAGUCAAUGUGAAGUCAACACAAAGAGAACGACCUCUUUAGAAAAUCGAAAGGGGACAGAAGUGCUGUUUUUCUUUUCUGUUGUCUUUGUUUAUUAUUAGCAUUAUUAUUUUUGCAAAGUGCCGUUAUGUCAAAGGUAUGGUGUACAGUUUCUCAUCCUGGAAUAGGACAAAUUUCUGGGCAUCAACUUCCUCUUCUCUAAAGUGGGGAUGAUAAUGUCACACACCUCACUGGGUUUUGACGAUUAAAGAUGUGGAGUUUUUAGAAUAGUGUCUGAUACUCAGUAAGAGCUCCACUAUUAGCUAUCAUUGUUAAUAUUGGAAGAUUACAAAGACUAUAUCAAUUACAAAGACUUUUACAAUAUAAGUUUAUGGUCCUGAAGAAAAAUGGGAUAAUGGAAUUAUAUCACAUAUUUACAUCAUUUAAUUAAAUAUGGUGUGUUUUCAUAUACCCACUCCACCCCCAUCUUAUAUAGUAUUUGUGUUUUUUGUUUAAAAAAAUCUGUUAGUCAAAAUAGGUAUUUAUUAAUAUGAUUAACUCUAAUAGCUAAUCAUGGUAAGGCCGGUUAGUUCUUCCAUAAUCAGACAAAAUUAAAAUACCUCAUUACUGGGUUUUGCUGCAUUGCUGUCCUCCUUGGGGGUCCUAGGAUCUGUGGGGGUGGCUAUGGGGUGUUUUAGGCAGUUGGGUUUCUCCUCCUCCUCCUCCUCUUCAAUGUGCAGGUGUGGGGUGCCCUCUGACCCAUCGUGGCCACACCACCAGGCGUCUCCUUCCUGAGGUUCUGGCGGCCCUCUCUGGAUGCCUGACACAAUCCCCUCAUAGAUGCCCUCAUCUUCCUCUCCAAUGACCGGAAGGGGUACAGGCAAGGAACCCACGCUGGUGCACGCAGAGGCCACAAAAUUAUCCCCUAGGACUUCUGGUGCCUUUUUAGGGUCUGAGAAGCCCCUUCUCAUUUUUCUCAACUCUGCAAAGUUGCUUUGAGUUGUCGUUCUGGGAUCCUGAAGAGGCUCUGCAUGGUAAGGCUGGGCUGCAGCCGAGGCCACACCCGCGUGAGUGGAAGGUGAUUCGGCAGGUGCAGUCGCUGGGGACAAUGGGAGGAGGACAGCAGGUUCCUCCUUAAUUUCCAGGAUGGCGU
This 5818-nucleotide long non-coding RNA is filed under the name Homo sapiens (human). Its description in RNAcentral is "HSALNT0082096". The record is from RNAcentral. Lineage: Eukaryota; Metazoa; Chordata; Mammalia; Primates; Hominidae.